GAUGAGGAGCCAAUUGUUAUAUUUAACACUGUAUCCUAGACUUUCUUAAUCAUAUUUUGUCUGGGUUUGUGUAAAUUUUUAUCUGCAUCUGCUGUCAGCCCUGAUUUAAAUGCUAGAAGGCACUUGGCAUAUACUGGCCAUCUGGCAUAAAGGACAGUUUCUGGAGAUAGGGACUCUUCCCUCAGCUUCUCAGUCAACUUAACCAGAGGUUUUUCUCAGUGCGAAUGAGAAACUCCAAUCUGAAGAGUCAAAGAAACAAAAACCAUGUGAGGUUUUAGGCUGAAUGUGUGUAGGUGGUCCAGGAUCAGCCACCCAGCAAGCUUCCAUGAGUGGGGAUUCAAGUCUGGGUGUCCCAGAUCCAAGU
Molecule: long non-coding RNA, 364 nt
Organism: Eublepharis macularius
Lineage: Eukaryota; Metazoa; Chordata; Lepidosauria; Squamata; Eublepharidae
Exons: 3
Source: RefSeq, a predicted model, not a curated record